This 894-nucleotide ribosomal RNA is filed under the name uncultured bacterium. Its description in RNAcentral is "bacterial SSU rRNA". It matches the Rfam family "Bacterial small subunit ribosomal RNA", at positions 8 to 883 of the family's 1533-position model. The record is from RNAcentral.
AGAGUUUGAUCCUGGCUCAGGAUGAACGCUGGCGGCGUGCCUAAUACAUGCAAGUCGAGCGAACAGAUAAGGAGCUUGCUCCUUUGACGUUAGCGGCGGACGGGUGAGUAACACGUGGGUAACCUACCUAUAAGACUGGGAUAACUUCGGGAAACCGGAGCUAAUACCGGAUAACAUUUGGAACCGCAUGGUUCUAAAGUGAAAGAUGGUUUUGCUAUCACUUAUAGAUGGACCCGCGCCGUAUUAGCUAGUUGGUAAGGUAACGGCUUACCAAGGCGACGAUACGUAGCCGACCUGAGAGGGUGAUCGGCCACACUGGAACUGAGACACGGUCCAGACUCCUACGGGAGGCAGCAGUAGGGAAUCUUCCGCAAUGGGCGAAAGCCUGACGGAGCAACGCCGCGUGAGUGAUGAAGGGUUUCGGCUCGUAAAACUCUGUUAUUAGGGAAGAACAAACGUGUAAGUAACUGUGCACGUCUUGACGGUACCUAAUCAGAAAGCCACGGCUAACUACGUGCCAGCAGCCGCGGUAAUACGUAGGUGGCAAGCGUUAUCCGGAAUUAUUGGGCGUAAAGCGCGCGUAGGCGGUUUCUUAAGUCUGAUGUGAAAGCCCACGGCUCAACCGUGGAGGGUCAUUGGAAACUGGGAAACUUGAGUGCAGAAGAGGAAAGUGGAAUUCCAUGUGUAGCGGUGAAAUGCGCAGAGAUAUGGAGGAACACCAGUGGCGAAGGCGACUUUCUGGUCUGUAACUGACGCUGAUGUGCGAAAGCGUGGGGAUCAAACAGGAUUAGAUACCCUGGUAGUCCACGCCGUAAACGAUGAGUGCUAAGUGUUAGGGGGUUUCCGCCCCUUAGUGCUGCAGCUAACGCAUUAAGCACUCCGCCUGGGGAGUAC